CUGAGUUCGGGGCAAUCCCAGUCCCGACCUCCAACCCUUUGUGAACAUAUCUUGUUGCUUCGGGGGCGACCCUGCCGUUCGCGGCAUUCCCCCCGGAGGUCAUCAAAACACUGCAUUAUUACGUCGGAGUAAAAAGUUAAUUUAAUA
This 147-nucleotide unclassified non-coding RNA is filed under the name uncultured Mycosphaerellaceae. The record is from RNAcentral. Lineage: Eukaryota; Fungi; Ascomycota; Dothideomycetes; Mycosphaerellales; Mycosphaerellaceae.